UACGUAGGGUGCGAGCGUUAAUCGGAAUUACUGGGCGUAAAGCGUGCGCAGGCGGUGAUGUAAGACCGAUGUGAAAUCCCCGGGCUUAACCUGGGAACUGCAUUCGAGACUGCAUUGCUGGAGUACGGAAGAGGAAGGCGGAAUUCCCGGUGUAGCGGUGAAAUGCGUAGAUAUCGGGAGGAACAUCAGUGGCGAAGGCGGGUCUCUGGGCAAUAACUGACGCUGAGGAGCGAAAGCGUGGGGAGCGAACAGG
RNAcentral lists this ribosomal RNA (253 nucleotides) under uncultured bacterium. Its description in RNAcentral is "partial 16S ribosomal RNA". It matches the Rfam family "Bacterial small subunit ribosomal RNA", at positions 524 to 776 of the family's 1533-position model. The record is from RNAcentral.